RNAcentral lists this ribosomal RNA (373 nucleotides) under uncultured bacterium. RNAcentral describes it as "bacterial SSU rRNA". It matches the Rfam family "Bacterial small subunit ribosomal RNA", at positions 525 to 896 of the family's 1533-position model. The record is from RNAcentral.
ACGUAGGUGGCAAGCGUUGUCCGGAUUUAUUGGGCGUAAAGGGAACGCAGGCGGUCUUUUAAGUCUGAUGUGAAAGCCUUCGGCUUAACCGGAGAUGUGCAUUGGAAACUGGGAGACUUGAGUGCAGAAGAGGAGAGUGGAACUCCAUGUGUAGCGGUGAAAUGCGUAGAUAUAUGGAAGAACACCAGUGGCGAAAGCGGCUCUCUGGUCUGUAACUGACGCUGAGGUUCGAAAGCGUGGGUAGCGAACAGGAUUAGAUACCCUGGUAGUCCACGCCGUAAACGAUGAAUGCUAGGUGUUGGAGGGUUUCCGCCCUUCAGUGCCGCAGCUAACGCAAUAAGCAUUCCGCCUGGGGAGUACGACCGCAAGGUUG